Molecule: non-coding RNA, 1476 nt
Organism: Leptonychotes weddellii (Weddell seal)
Lineage: Eukaryota; Metazoa; Chordata; Mammalia; Carnivora; Phocidae
Source: RefSeq, a predicted model, not a curated record
AGCAGCUCAGCGCCCCAAACGAGCAGGUCGUUGCCUGAGGAUUUAAUGGAGAAAUCCCAAAGUGAGCCUGGGUGCGUGGUGGAGGAGGGGCGCGCUGCGGUUGGGAAGGAGGCCCGAGGAGCUCCAGGAGCUCGAGGAGCUCACGGUCCAGCCUGCCAGGCAGCCCCGGGCCAGCUGGCGCUCCCUGGCCAAGGCCACGCUCCCUUCUGUCGACAGCAGAUGGGGGAGGGCACUGGCCUGAUGUGCCAAGAGCUGGGAGCAGCCAUCCAGGUGACUAAGCCGGCCCCCUGGCACUGACUCACCUGCUGGCCCUGAGAUUUCUUCCUUCCUUUUCGCAUCUGAUUAUUUUGGGAGCUGGAAACUCCGAGCUGCACCUGGGUCCCGCCCCUUCUAGUUCUCCCCUCUCUACCUUGGGCUCCGAGGAAGAUGGGACCUAUCAGGAAUCUGCUGCCACCCCCUAAGGAUAUGGAGAAUGCUGUGGGGGCCCGAGGUUCCGGGAGAGAGAUGCUGGCCGGCCAAGUGCAAUAGCAGAUAUGGUGAUCGGGCUGCUGUGUCCUCUGGACGUGUCAGGAGAGAAGGCGAGAGCGGUGCGUGCUAACUGGAGUCCUCCCGGGCUGGCUUUGAACUCCCCUCCCGCAGGAUACUGCUGCACAUGAGUGGCUUCUAGGGUCAGAGUGGCAUUUGGAGAGCAAGGCUGGAUUGGCUUAGGCUGGCCUGGGCAGGGAGUGCCUCUUCCUGGGCUAGAGACAAGCACCGGCCUGCAGUGAGGAGCUCGAGGUGUGACGAGGUGUGACGCCCCCCCGAGGAGUGGCCACGGCCUCCGAGGACUGGCCGGGGAAGGUCCCCAGUCUUCCCUCUCCUCGUUGCCUGAGAGCGCUGCCCACGGAAGGGUGAGGAGUCCGGAGGAAGAGGAGGCGAGGAAGGCGGCCAGGAAGUGAGUGAGGAACCUUCAGCCCGGUAAGGUAUUCAGGAGCCUUCUCAAGACCUCCUUGAGGGACAAGCUGGAAGGGACAGUGGGCAGGCAGGUGGCCCUCCUGGGAUGUUCUUGGUACUGUUAGGCAGGGGCAGUGGUCCCUUCUAGGUGCCAUUUCUCCAAACUUAGUGGGUGUGCCUUGUAACUUCCACCAGCCCAGCCCCAGGCAGAUGCCCUGCCUGCCCCUGGCCCAGCCUCUGCUGUCAUGUGUGAUGCCUGUCUGGGGCGAGACAGGGUCACCAAGGUUGGUGCACUGAAUUCUUGCUUGGGAAAGAAGCUCCCAAACAGGAAGGGCAGUAGCCGGCGCAUCCCAGCCUGAUAGCUCAUUCCCCAGAUCUCCAACCUGCUAAAAUGGAUCCAGCUGUUCCCACACCCGUGGAUGAUGAGUGGCAUCCCAUCUGGAAUAUAGAUGCUGCUAGGAACACCAAGGGCUAAGACAUGAAGAGCUCCCGGGGUGUGGGCUGAGUUUUCUGUAUCUUGUCCUAUUCUGGUGUGUUUUAGGC